RNAcentral lists this microRNA precursor (105 nucleotides) under Oryza sativa (Asian cultivated rice). RNAcentral describes it as "miR2104 stem-loop (osa-MIR2104)". Lineage: Eukaryota; Viridiplantae; Streptophyta; Magnoliopsida; Poales; Poaceae. The record is from miRBase by way of RNAcentral.
ACGGGCGCUCACGGUGGCUUCGACCCUCGUCUCGGCCGCGUGCGGUAGUGCGGGAGGCAUGCCGUGUGUACCGGCGGCGAGGGGAUGCGAGCGUGAGUGCCUCGG